Molecule: ribosomal RNA, 500 nt
Filed under: uncultured bacterium
Lineage: Bacteria
Description: partial 16S ribosomal RNA
Rfam family: Bacterial small subunit ribosomal RNA
Source: RNAcentral
AUUGAACGCUGGCGGCAUGCUUUACACAUGCAAGUCGAACGGCAGCGCGGACUUCGGUCUGGCGGCGAGUGGCGAACGGGUGAGUAAUAUAUCGGAACGUACCCAGGGGUGGGGGAUAACGUAGCGAAAGUUACGCUAAUACCGCAUACGCUCUAUGGAGGAAAGCAGGGGAUCGCAAGACCUUGCGCGCUUGGAGCGGCCGAUAUCUGAUUAGCUAGUUGGUGGGGUAAAGGCUCACCAAGGCAACGAUCAGUAGCUGGUCUGAGAGGACGACCGGCCACACUGGGACUGAGACACGGCCCAGACUCCUACGGGAGGCAGCAGUGGGGAAUUUUGGACAAUGGGGGCAACCCUGAUCCAGCAAUGCCGCGUGAGUGAAGAAGGCCUUCGGGUUGUAAAGCUCUUUUGUCAGGGAAGAAACGGGCGUGGCUAAUAUCCAUGCCUAAUGACGGUACCUGAAGAAUAAGCACCGGCUAACUACGUGCCAGCCGCCGCCGUAA